AUGGAUAGUCUAUUCAUGUUGAGACUAUAAGAAUCUAAUUAACCUUUUAGCAAGAUUUUAGAAACUAGUAGAUCAUUGUUAUGAGCAUAAAUUUAUUAAAAAUAUUAUUUCAAAUCUUUUACUAUUAUAGCAUAGUUUUAAAAUUAAUGUAAAGAGUAAAUGUUACUCUCCUUCUGAUAAAUUUUAUGGUAAUGAAUUAAUAAUAAUGAUCUCAUAUUUCUAUCUCUCAAUGAUGCAGUUCUUCAUGUUGAUGAGAAUAAGAAAUAAAUAUGUGAUGGUCUUAUAUCUCAGGGCAAACAAG
This 301-nucleotide long non-coding RNA is filed under the name Elaeis guineensis (African oil palm). RNAcentral's name for it is "long non-coding RNA (EGUI_LNC050053)". The record is from RNAcentral. Lineage: Eukaryota; Viridiplantae; Streptophyta; Magnoliopsida; Arecales; Arecaceae.